RNAcentral lists this ribosomal RNA (601 nucleotides) under uncultured Actinomycetes bacterium. Its description in RNAcentral is "bacterial SSU rRNA". It matches the Rfam family "Bacterial small subunit ribosomal RNA", at positions 92 to 707 of the family's 1533-position model. The record is from RNAcentral. Lineage: Bacteria; Bacillati; Actinomycetota; Actinomycetes.
UUAGUGGCGAACGGGUGAGUAACACGUGAGUAACCUGCCCUUAACUCUGGGAUAAGCCUGGGAAACUGGGUCUAAUACCGGAUAGGAGCGUCCACCGCAUGGUGGGUGUUGGAAAGAUUUAUCGGUUUUGGAUGGACUCGCGGCCUAUCAGCUUGUUGGUGAGGUAAUGGCUCACCAAGGCGACGACGGGUAGCCGGCCUGAGAGGGUGACCGGCCACACUGGGACUGAGACACGGCCCAGACUCCUACGGGAGGCAGCAGUGGGGAAUAUUGCACAAUGGGCGCAAGCCUGAUGCAGCGACGCCGCGUGAGGGAUGACGGCCUUCGGGUUGUAAACCUCUUUCAGUAGGGAAGAAGCGAAAGUGACGGUACCUGCAGAAGAAGCACCGGCUAACUACGUGCCAGCAGCCGCGGUAAUACGUAGGGUGCGAGCGUUAUCCGGAAUUAUUGGGCGUAAAGAGCUCGUAGGCGGUUUGUCGCGUCUGUCGUGAAAGUCCGGGGCUUAACCCCGGAUCUGCGGUGGGUACGGGCAGACUAGAGUGCAGUAGGGGAGACUGGAAUUCCUGGUGUAGCGGUGGAAUGCGCAGAUAUCAGGAGGAAC